AAACCAACUGGGAUUACCUUAGUAACGGCGAGUGAAGCGGUAAAAGCUCAAAUUUGAAAUCUGGUACUUUCAGUGCCCGAGUUGUAAUUUGUAGAAUUUGUCUUUGAUUAGGUCCUUGUCUAUGUUCCUUGGAACAGGACGUCAUAGAGGGUGAGAAUCCCGUUUGGCGAGGAUACCUUUUCUUUGUAAGACUUUUUCGAAGAGUCGAGUUGUUUGGGAAUGCAGCUCAAAGUGGGUGGUAAAUUCCAUCUAAAGCUAAAUAUUGGCGAGAGACCGAUAGCGAACAAGUACAGUGAUGGAAAGAUGAAAAGAACUUUGAAAAGAGAGUGAAAAAGUACGUGAAAUUGUUGAAAGGGAAGGGCAUUUGAUCAGACAUGGUGUUUUUGCAUGCACUCGCCUCUCGUGGGCUUGGGCCUCUCAAAAAUUUCACUGGGCCAACAUCAAUUUGGCAGCAGGAUAAAUCAUUAAGAAUGUAGCUACUUCGGUAGUGUUAUAGCUUUUUGGAAUACUGUUAGCCGGGAUUUG
This 525-nucleotide ribosomal RNA is filed under the name uncultured Hanseniaspora. RNAcentral's name for it is "eukaryotic LSU rRNA". It matches the Rfam family "Eukaryotic large subunit ribosomal RNA", at positions 62 to 591 of the family's 3401-position model. Lineage: Eukaryota; Fungi; Ascomycota; Saccharomycetes; Saccharomycodales; Saccharomycodaceae. The record is from RNAcentral.